CGGGGCGUGGCGCAGCCUGGUAGCGCGCUUGUUUUGGGUACAAGAGGCCCCCGGUUCGAGUCCGGGCGCCCCGA
Molecule: transfer RNA, 74 nt
Organism: Gluconobacter morbifer G707
Lineage: Bacteria; Pseudomonadati; Pseudomonadota; Alphaproteobacteria; Acetobacterales; Acetobacteraceae
Rfam family: tRNA
About the family: Transfer RNA (tRNA) molecules are approximately 80 nucleotides in length. Their secondary structure includes four short double-helical elements and three loops (D, anti-codon, and T loops). Further hydrogen bonds mediate the characteristic L-shaped molecular structure. tRNAs have two regions of fundamental functional importance: the anti-codon, which is responsible for specific mRNA codon recognition, and the 3' end, to which the tRNAs corresponding amino acid is attached (by aminoacyl-tRNA synthetases). tRNAs cope with the degeneracy of the genetic code in two manners: having more than one tRNA (with a specific anti-codon) for a particular amino acid; and 'wobble' base-pairing, i.e. permitting non-standard base-pairing at the 3rd anti-codon position.
Source: Rfam